This 72-nucleotide transfer RNA is filed under the name Procavia capensis (Cape rock hyrax). RNAcentral describes it as "tRNA-Ala (AGC) (tRNA-Ala-AGC-6-1)". It matches the Rfam family "tRNA". From Rfam's summary of the family: Transfer RNA (tRNA) molecules are approximately 80 nucleotides in length. Their secondary structure includes four short double-helical elements and three loops (D, anti-codon, and T loops). The record is from RNAcentral. Lineage: Eukaryota; Metazoa; Chordata; Mammalia; Hyracoidea; Procaviidae.
GGGGGUGUGGCUCAGCGGUAGAGCGCGUGCUUAGCAUGCACGAGGCCCUGGGUUCGAUCCCCAGCACCUCCA